CCUACGGGAGGCAGCAGUGAGGAAUAUUGGUCAAUGGACGAGAGUCUGAACCAGCCAAGUAGCGUGAAGGAUGACUGCCCUAUGGGUUGUAAACUUCUUUUAUAAAGGAAUAAAACGAGGCACGUGUGCCUUUUUGCAUGUACUUUAUGAAUAAGGAUCGGCUAACUCCGUGCCAGCAGCCGCGGUAAUACGGAGGAUCCGAGCGUUAUCCGGAUUUAUUGGGUUUAAAGGGUGCGUAGAUGGGUUGUUAAGUCAGUUGUGAAAGGUUGCGGCUCAACCGUAACAUUGCAGUUGAUACUGGCAGUCUUGAGUACAGUUGAGGUAGGCGGAAUUCGUGGUGUAGCGGUGAAAUGCUUAGAUAUCACGAAGAACCCCGAUUGCGAAGGCAGCUUACUAAACUGUGACUGACACUGAUGCUCGAAAGUGUGGGUAUCAAACAGGAUUAGAUACCCGAGUAGUC
This 460-nucleotide ribosomal RNA is filed under the name uncultured bacterium. RNAcentral describes it as "partial 16S ribosomal RNA". It matches the Rfam family "Bacterial small subunit ribosomal RNA", at positions 338 to 795 of the family's 1533-position model. The record is from RNAcentral.